GCGGGCUUACACAUGGAAGUCGAGCGGGCGAGGUUGCUUCGGUAACUGAGCUAGCGGCGGACGGGUGAGUAAAGCUUAGGAAUCUGCCUAUUAGUGGGGGACAACAUUCCGAAAGGGAUGCUAAUACCGCAUACGUCCUACGGGAGAAAGCAGGGGAUCACUUGUGACCUUGCGCUAAUAGAUGAGCCUAAGUCGGAUUAGCUAGUUGGUGGGGUAAAGGCCUACCAAGGCGACGAUCUGUAGCGGGUCUGAGAGGAUGAUCCGCCACACUGGGACUGAGACACGGCCCAGACUCCUACGGGAGGCAGCAGUGGGGAAUAUUGGACAAUGGGGGGAACCCUGAUCCAGCCAUGCCGCGUGUGUGAAGAAGGCCUUUUGGUUGUAAAGCACUUUAAGCGAGGAGGAGGCUUACCUGGUUAAUACCUGGGAUAAGUGGACGUUACUCGCAGAAUAAGCACCGGCUAACUCUGUGCCAGCAGCCGCGGUAAUACAGAGGGUGCGAGCGUUAAUCGGAUUUACUGGGCGUAAAGCGCGCGUAGGUGGUUAAUUAAGUCAAAUGUGAAAUCCCCGAGCUUAACUUGGGAAUUGCAUUCGAUACUGGUUAGCUAGAGUAUGGGAGAGGAUGGUAGAAUUCCAGGUGUAGCGGUGAAAUGCGUAGAGAUCUGGAGGAAUACCGAUGGCGAAGGCAGCCAUCUGGCCUAAUACUGACACUGAGGUGCGAAAGCAUGGGGAGCAAACAGGAUUAGAUACCCUGGUAGUCCAUGCCGUAAACGAUGUCUACUAGCCGUUGGGGGAUUUGAUCCUUUAGUGGCGCAGCUAACGCGAUAAGUAGACCGCCUGGGGAGUACGGUCGCAAGACUAAAACUCAAAUGAAUUGACGGGGGCCCGCACAAGCGGUGGAGCAUGUGGUUUAAUUCGAUGCAACGCGAAGAACCUUACCUGGCCUUGACA
Molecule: ribosomal RNA, 951 nt
Filed under: Acinetobacter sp. NF006
Lineage: Bacteria; Pseudomonadati; Pseudomonadota; Gammaproteobacteria; Moraxellales; Moraxellaceae
Description: bacterial SSU rRNA
Rfam family: Bacterial small subunit ribosomal RNA
Source: RNAcentral